This 77-nucleotide transfer RNA is filed under the name Micromonospora rhizosphaerae. RNAcentral's name for it is "tRNA_Pro_CGG". It matches the Rfam family "tRNA". Rfam says of the family: Transfer RNA (tRNA) molecules are approximately 80 nucleotides in length. Their secondary structure includes four short double-helical elements and three loops (D, anti-codon, and T loops). Further hydrogen bonds mediate the characteristic L-shaped molecular structure. tRNAs have two regions of fundamental functional importance: the anti-codon, which is responsible for specific mRNA codon recognition, and the 3' end, to which the tRNAs corresponding amino acid is attached (by aminoacyl-tRNA synthetases). tRNAs cope with the degeneracy of the genetic code in two manners: having more than one tRNA (with a specific anti-codon) for a particular amino acid; and 'wobble' base-pairing, i.e. permitting non-standard base-pairing at the 3rd anti-codon position. The record is from RNAcentral. Lineage: Bacteria; Bacillati; Actinomycetota; Actinomycetes; Micromonosporales; Micromonosporaceae.
CGGGUUGUGGCGCAGCUUGGUAGCGCGCCUCGUUCGGGACGAGGAGGUCGUCGGUUCAAAUCCGGCCAGCCCGACCA